CCUACGGGAGGCAGCAGUGGGGAAUAUUGGACAAUGGGGGGAACCCUGAUCCAGCCAUGCCGCGUGUGUGAAGAAGGCCCUCGGGUUGUAAAGCACUUUCAGUGAGGAAGAACGCCUGGUGGUUAAUACCCAUCAGGAAAGACAUCACUCACAGAAGAAGCACCGGCUAACUCCGUGCCAGCAGCCGCGGUAAUACGGAGGGUGCGAGCGUUAAUCGGAAUUACUGGGCGUAAAGCGCGCGUAGGUGGCUUGAUAAGCCGGUUGUGAAAGCCCCGGGCUCAACCUGGGAACGGAUCCGGAACUGUCAAGGUUGAGGGCAGGAGAGGGAGGUAGAAUUCCCUGGGUAGGGGGGAAAUGCGUAGAGGUCGGGAGGAAUACCAGUGGCGAAGGCGGCCUUCUGGACUGACACUGACACUGAGGUGCGAAAGCGUGGGUAGCAAACAGGAUUAGAUACCCUGGUAGUC
Molecule: ribosomal RNA, 464 nt
Filed under: Vreelandella stevensii
Lineage: Bacteria; Pseudomonadati; Pseudomonadota; Gammaproteobacteria; Oceanospirillales; Halomonadaceae
Description: partial 16S ribosomal RNA
Rfam family: Bacterial small subunit ribosomal RNA
Source: RNAcentral